UGGGGAAUUUUGGACAAUGGGGGAAACCCUGAUCCAGCCAUCCCGCGUGUGCGAUGAAGGCCUUCGGGUUGUAAAGCACUUUUGGCAGGAAAGAAACGUCAUGGGUUAAUACCCCGUGAAACUGACGGUACCUGCAGAAUAAGCACCGGCUACUACGUGCCAGCAGCCGCGGUAAUACGUAGGGUGCAAGCGUUAAUCGGAAUUACUGGGCGUAAAGCGUGCGCAGGCGGUUCGGAAAGAAAGAUGUGAAAUCCCAGAGCUCAACUUUGGAACUGCAUUUUUAACUACCGGGCUAGAGUGUGUCAGAGGGAGGUGGAAUUCCGCGUGUAGCAGUGAAAUGCGUAGAUAUGCGGAGGAACACCGAUGGCGAAGGCAGCCUCCUGGGAUAACACUGACGCUCAUGCACGAAAGCGUGGGGAGCAAACAGG
RNAcentral lists this ribosomal RNA (428 nucleotides) under Acidobacteriota bacterium. RNAcentral's name for it is "Acidobacteria bacterium partial 16S ribosomal RNA". It matches the Rfam family "Bacterial small subunit ribosomal RNA", at positions 355 to 776 of the family's 1533-position model. Lineage: Bacteria; Pseudomonadati; Acidobacteriota. The record is from RNAcentral.